UACAGAGGGUGCAAGCGUUAAUCGGAGUUACUGGGCGUAAAGGGCGCGUAGGCGGAUAUAUGUGUGUGAUGUGAAAGCCCCGGGCUUAACCUGGGAAGUGCAUCGCAAACUGUAUAUCUAGAGUAUAUGAGAGGGUGGCGGAAUUUCAGGUGUAGCGGUGAAAUGCGUAGAGAUCGGAAGGAACGUCAAUGGCGAAGGCAGCCACCUGGCAUAAUACUGACGCUGAGGCGAGAAAGCGUGGGGAGCGAACAGG
This 253-nucleotide ribosomal RNA is filed under the name uncultured bacterium. Its description in RNAcentral is "partial 16S ribosomal RNA". It matches the Rfam family "Bacterial small subunit ribosomal RNA", at positions 524 to 776 of the family's 1533-position model. The record is from RNAcentral.